CCUACGGGUGGCAGCAGUGGGGAAUAUUGCACAAUGGGGGAAACCCUGAUGCAGCGACGCUGCGUGAGUGAAGAAGUAACUCGUUACGUAAAGCUCUAUCAGCAGGGAAGAAAAUGACGGUACCUGAGUAAGAAGAUCUGGCUAACUACGUGCCAGAAGCCGCGGCAAUACGCAGGGGGCAAGCGUUAUCCGGAUUUACUGGGUGUAAAGGGAGCGUAGACGGUGCGCCAAGUCUGGAGUGAAAUGCCGAGGCUUAACUGCGGAACUGCAUUGGAAACUGGCGAACUAGAGUACGGGAGAGGUAGGCGGAAUUCCUGGUGUAGCGGUGAAAUGCGUAGAUAUUAGGAAGAACACCGAUGGCGAAGGCGGCUUACUAAACCGUAACUGACGUUGAGGCUCGAAAGCGUGGGGAGCAAACAGGAUUAGAUACCCUUGUAGUC
This 440-nucleotide ribosomal RNA is filed under the name uncultured bacterium. RNAcentral's name for it is "partial 16S ribosomal RNA". It matches the Rfam family "Bacterial small subunit ribosomal RNA", at positions 338 to 795 of the family's 1533-position model. The record is from RNAcentral.